GAUGAACGCUGGCGGCGUGCCUAAUACAUGCAAGUCGAGCGAACGGACGAGAAGCUUGCUUCUCUGAUGUUAGCGGCGGACGGGUGAGUAACACGUGGAUAACCUACCUAUAAGACUGGGAUAACUUCGGGAAACCGGAGCUAAUACCGGAUAAUAUUUUGAACCGCAUGGUUCAAAAGUGAAAGACGGUUUUGCUGUCACUUAUAGAUGGAUCCGCGCUGCAUUAGCUAGUUGGUAAGGUAACGGCUUACCAAGGCAACGAUGCAUAGCCGACCUGAGAGGGUGAGCGGCCACACUGGAACUGAGACACGGUCCAGACUCCUACGGGAGGCAGCAGUAGGGAAUCUUCCGCAAUGGGCGAAAGCCUGACGGAGCAACGCCGCGUGAGUGAUGAAGGUCUUCGGAUCGUAAAACUCUGUUAUUAGGGAAGAACAUAUGUGUAAGUAACUAUGCACAUCUUGACGGUACCUAAUCAGAAAGCCACGGCUAACUACGUG
RNAcentral lists this ribosomal RNA (497 nucleotides) under uncultured bacterium. RNAcentral's name for it is "partial 16S ribosomal RNA". It matches the Rfam family "Bacterial small subunit ribosomal RNA", at positions 28 to 507 of the family's 1533-position model. The record is from RNAcentral.